GACGACUAAAAGCCCCUUUCACUGAUAUUACAAGUACAUGUCAUUUCAUGUUUACCUAAAAACCGGUGACCUGGAGCAUGGGCUGAAAGAACAACACAUAAGAGUGCUUCUUGAAACACUGCCUAAAAUUUUGUGUGAACUCUAUGGUGAUCUUGGUUUUAAAAACAUUUACAUUAAAACAUUAAUUUUCUUCCAGUUUCCUUAAAAUGAAUCCCAGAAACUCCUUCUAUGUAGUGUGACGAGAAUUUCAAUAGAUGGCAAUUUGCAAAUAUGGCAUCAAACACCUCCGGC
This 291-nucleotide long non-coding RNA is filed under the name Pan troglodytes (chimpanzee). Its description in RNAcentral is "long non-coding RNA NONPTRT006774". The record is from RNAcentral. Lineage: Eukaryota; Metazoa; Chordata; Mammalia; Primates; Hominidae.